UACGUAGGGUGCGAGCGUUGCCCGGAUUUCUUGGGCGUAAAGGGCGCGUAGGCGGCCACGCACGUCCGUUGUGAAAUCGCCCGGCUCAACUGGGCGGGGUCGGCGGAUACGGCGUGGCUGGAGCAAGCUAGGGGGCAAUGGAAUUCCCGGUGUAGUGGUGGAAUGCGUAGAUAUCGGGAGGAACACCAGUGGCGAAGGCGGUUGCCUGGAGCUUUGCUGACGCUGAGGCGCGAAAGCGUGGGGAGCGAUCCGG
RNAcentral lists this ribosomal RNA (253 nucleotides) under uncultured bacterium. RNAcentral's name for it is "partial 16S ribosomal RNA". It matches the Rfam family "Bacterial small subunit ribosomal RNA", at positions 524 to 776 of the family's 1533-position model. The record is from RNAcentral.